RNAcentral lists this long non-coding RNA (309 nucleotides) under Homo sapiens (human). Its description in RNAcentral is "non-protein coding lnc-SAP30-20:1". Lineage: Eukaryota; Metazoa; Chordata; Mammalia; Primates; Hominidae. The record is from RNAcentral.
UUCAGAAACGGUCAUUUGUUUGGGGAACGAAAAUAAUUGUAACCAGGCCAGAUGACAUAUUUAUAGGUUUCCAGGGGAAACAGAAACUUACCUCAAAUAAAAAGUUGCAAGUGGUCAAUGUAAUUAAAAAAGAAAAGUAGUGAAAUUAUCCAAGAACAAGGUGGGGCUUGGUGUAGGAAAAUAGCCUUUAAUUCACACAUAAGAGUAACAUACAAAGGGAAUACACCAUUUUUAAUUGGCCUCAGUCUCCUGAGUAGCUGGGACUACAUGGGUGCACCAACAUACAUCUCUAUAUUAUAACAGUUAUAU